Long non-coding RNA from Leptinotarsa decemlineata (Colorado potato beetle), 359 nucleotides. RefSeq lists it as uncharacterized. The record is from RefSeq and is a predicted model, not a curated record. NCBI's taxonomy places the organism in Eukaryota, Metazoa, Arthropoda, Insecta, Coleoptera, Chrysomelidae.
CACAACGGGUCCAUGUAAUUCAUCAAUGUACUCCAUCAUAACAUCAAAGGAGAGAAAUCGCAAUGUAUCAUAACGCUACAAGAUCAUAAUCGUAAUAUAUAGAAUACGCAAUGCAGAGAAACAAAAAGAAAAUAAAAUGGACAUGAUAUAUGAUUAUGGUCUGAGUCUAUUGAAAAUUAAUUUGUGGGAUUUUGGAGCCAGAUAUUAAGAAUUGAUAGUCAAAAUUACUAAAAUCAAGAUACCGGUGUGAACUUGGCAGCUAAAAGGUAGCAGCCAAAAUCCCGAAAACACCCGAGCGCACAUAGACGUACAUCGAAAAAUUAUUACGGAAAAAUAAACAUUAAAAAGGUGAAAAAUGA